UUACCAACAAACUGCAAGGGUGCCUGUGCCCUGGAGGAGGGGUUAGGAUAUGUGCUCUGGCCAUCAAGACAGACAGCCCAUCUCAUCAAUGUCAACAGGAAAGAUCCAACUCCCUUAUCCACAAAAAUACUUGUAUUUUCUUAUGAAGAGGAAAUUUUCUGUCUCUGCUUCUUCUCUGCCUCUACUCACUUCUGCUCUUGGACAAAACUGGAAGAUUUUCUGGGUUUCAGACGUAGCAGAGUUCAAAUUGUCAAAGACCACCUCCAGGGUGACUCUCCCUGCGCUCAGUGGUGUUCUUACAGCAUGGAUGCUUCCAUAGGAGAAAACAUCUGAAAAUGGAAGACCUAAGCCGUCUCCUUCCCUUGUUCAACCUGCCAGUGAGCAGCUGCUGCUGCCAUGUCAGUGGUAUCACCCUGUCCUCACUCACCUCUGACUGGUCCAUGAAUAUUGCAGACUCCUGAGAGUGGGGAGAGCCUACAGAUGAGCUAGCACAGUGUCAGCACAGUAGGAUGCCGUUCUGUCCUUAAGCAUCAUCCCCAACUUCCUAUAAGAAACAGGAGUGAGAGCAAUUUGUCUCCCUAGGAACUUUAGUAUAAAUAUGCUGGGAUAACUAGCUUUGAUAGGAAAAAAUUUUUACAGGUUAAGUGUUUCUUUGGGCACUGGCUUGAAAUAUCUAUUUGGGGAUUCCCGACUCGGAAAAUUGUAGCUUAACAUCUGAGGUGAACAGGCUGUCAUUCAUGAGGGCAGAACAAGUAAACACAGCUAUCAUCACAUUAAAGACAAGACACUGUGGAGGUUUUGGAGCAAAGUAGGAGGAAUUUCUCAACACAGGUCCAUUCCUUCCCCCUAAGCAGCUCCUCUUCUUGGAGACAUACCACAUGCAGAACUUCUCUACUAUGAAGCUGCAGUGAUGUUUUUGAGUAUAGACAUGGGCAGAAACAGUACAAACAGCAGAGGGUGUUAAAAGUGACUGCACAGUGAAAACUGAGAACUCCACACCUAAUUUAUCUGUAAAUGGCACAGGAUAUACUCUUUAUUGCUUACUAGUUUGCUCUCCUAAAGAGAGAACAUUAGGUGAAUCAUCAAAGUGCAAGGACAAAGUGAAACAAGGAUUGUGCCUGUCCACUGGGCCAACCUCUAAAGCUGUACUUCAGGCUUUUUCCUCCUCUUCAGUCUCAGUUUUCCCUGAAGAAGAUAAGCCAUGGAAUUUGCAGGACCAAGAUCUUCAUCACAAAGUCUCCUCCAGUGUCUCAAUUCCCCAGGGUGUCAAGGAAGUUUAGCCCCCUCUUUGGAAGCAGCAGAACAUCCUUCCUUAGAUGGAUCAGCCUCUGCACACUGGGCCCUGUGCACACAGGGCUCAGCAUCCCUGAGGAAUAUAUACCCAGAUGAAGUUUUGAGCAUUUGGCUAUGAUCCUGGAAUAACCUCCAUGAAGUCGAUGGAUUUUCCCCAGAUUUACUUCAGUAUAAUGAGCUAAGAAUUUGGACCUCUGUGCCAUAUUGUGUGGAAUUUUAUUAAUUUUAAAUAAAGUUUCCACCUUAAAUGAAUU
RNAcentral lists this long non-coding RNA (1547 nucleotides) under Parus major (Great Tit). RNAcentral's name for it is "lncRNA (ENSPMJG00000003004.1)". Lineage: Eukaryota; Metazoa; Chordata; Aves; Passeriformes; Paridae. The record is from RNAcentral.